Pelobates cultripes (western spadefoot toad) is the source of this 1758-nucleotide non-coding RNA. NCBI's taxonomy places the organism in Eukaryota, Metazoa, Chordata, Amphibia, Anura, Pelobatidae. The record is from the annotation of a GenBank genome assembly.
CUAAAAUAUACUCAAAAAUAUUGGCAAAUAGGUUAGCUCACAUAUAUAUUUCCACUUCUAAUUGAUCAUGGUGGGCUUAGUUUUAAACUGUCAGGCCCUGGAUAGCACUAGACGCUAUAUUAAUUUGAUUCAACACAUUGAAUUGAACCGCACGCCUUCUCUGCUCCUAUCUUUAGAUGCAGAGAAGGUGUUCAAUAGGAUACAUUGGGAUUUUUUAAAAAUAAGUUAUGUCGAGGUUUCAUAUUCCAGAUUCCUUCAUCAGAGCUAUGUUUGCAUUGUACUGUAAUCCAACGGCCACGGUGUCCACAACUGGCUUUGUAUCUGACAGUUUUGCAUUAUCAGGACCAGGCAGGGCUGCCCAUUGUCGCCAUUGUUAUUCAUGCCGGCAAUGAAGCCUUUGGCUGAGUCCAUAAGACAGUGUGUGGACAUGAAGGGUAUUGUGGUAGGAGAAAGGGAACAUAAAAUAGGCUUAUUUGCAGAUGACAUUAUGCUAUCAUUGAAAAAUCCCUCGACCUCAGUCCAAUCAUUAAUGUCUAUCUUGCAAGAAUUUGGCAAAAUUUCUUAUUAUAAAUUAAACACAAAUAAAACUCAGACGCUAUACUUUUUUGUCCCACGGCACAUAUUGAACUCUUUAAAAGAGGACUUCGACUGGAGGGAUUCAUAUAUCUCCUAUGUAGGUAUUUAUCUCUGUAAGAACCUGUCAAAGAUGCAUGCAUAUAAUUUAGCUAAGGUCUGGCCUGCUUUUUGGGAAAUUUCUUGGUUGGGCAGAAUAAAUUCGGUCAAAAUGUCUCUCCUUAGUAAACUUUUUUACUUUCUAUAAAGAUGGCUAUCCCUCUCACUAUACCUUCCUCUUUUUAAAGAAUGUUCACUCUGCCCUUCUGGCAUUUGUCUGGAAUAAAAAUCCUUGCAGAAUUCAGCUGGCUAUUAUACAAAAACUCAGGGUUAGUGGAGGUAUGGGUUUGCUGAAUUUGAGUCAGUAUGAUGUUACAACAAAUGCAGCUAAUGCUCUUUUAAAUUUAAUUUGGUACAUCGUUGCCCGCUGUGGUUGGAGAUGGAGGCUACUAAGAUUUCUCCUUAUAAGAUAACUGAAGUGCUAUGGUCACCUUCCUCUCUUCCGCUGUGGAUGGCAAACAUGUUUCCAACCACCAAGACCAGUGUUAAGGCUUGGGAUGUUGUAUUUAAAAAAUUAAACAUUCUGUUUUUUGGUCCAAGGCUACUCUCGAUGUUGCGAUUCUCAUUUCCUGAUCUGUGUCAGGGUCUUACCUGGGUUGGGAGUCUGCAGAUAGCCACAGGCCAAGGUGGUCAGGUAAGAAUUCACCUGGCCUGUGGGUCUGUGCAUGGGGGCUGUGCAGGAUGAAGUACCAAGUCUCAGGACAGGCAAGGACUCAAACAACAGGAUCGUCAAGGGAUAGCCGAGCUCAAAGGAUGCCAGAGGACAGGAUCAACAAGGAGUAGCCGAAGUCAAGGGAUGCCAGAGGUCAGAGUAAACGUAGUCAGAAGCCGGGGUCAAUAAUAAGUAGCAGAUCAAAUGACAGGAACACUGGUACGGAACACACAACAGGAUCAAAGACUUGAUCCUGAUCACAGGGCGAGGCAGUGUUUAAAUACCCUGCUGAUGUCUGAUCAAGGUCAGGUGAAGCACAACCAUAGUCAAGGUACAGCCCCCAGAAUAAUAGACAUGCCAGGAUGAACAGGACUGGAAUGAUUUGUUGAUAUAUAAAGCUGCUGUGGCGCAGAGGUAGGAAGCAGGACCAGGAC